UAUAUAUAUAUAUAUAUAUAUAUAUACAUAUAUCCAUCAAAAUUCAGAUGAAGUGGAUUUAAGUUAUAGGCAACCGUACAGAACGUCCUUCAACCAUGAGAAAACCCCUAUACCGUAUAGUCGGCUAGAAUAAGUCCCGACAUAAAAACUAUGAAACAAUUAAAUUGAGAAAACCAAAAGCCUUAUUUCUUAAUAACCCCAAAAUUGUUAAAUUAUGUACGAGGAAAAUAGGAAUAUGCAAUGUAAAAGAAGUUAUAUGAUAAUGGAAAGGGGAGUAAAGAAUUAGUAUCAACUUCUUGAAAUUUGACCCAAACAUAGUCUUUUUUAAUAAAUGAUUUAUUAGCGAUAUAUCCAACCUCAGAUUACAUUUUUACUGUUGUCUCAAAUGUCUGCACAAAAGUAAUGUAUAGUAACUUUCCUCGUUAUCCGAUAAUUCAGUGAACAAAUGCAAAGACGAAAAAAGAAUAGAAUAACUUGAAUAUAAAAUUAAUGCUAUAUUUUGCAAAUUUGCUUUAAACCACUCCUAACUAUAUGUAUACUAUAAAAAUAACUCUCAUUAAGGAUGGGGUCAAAUGUAAUUUAACUAGACUUUAAAUUGCAAAAAAAACAUAACAAAUUAAAUUCUCAUAAAUUAGAAGUAGAAAAUAUUUUAAAUUCGAGUUAUUCGUUAUUCAAUUCCAACUAAAAAACUUUUUAUAAAUUCUGAUAAACUUGAAAUAUAUUGUAUUGUAAAUUUA
RNAcentral lists this long non-coding RNA (737 nucleotides) under Mytilus galloprovincialis (Mediterranean mussel). Lineage: Eukaryota; Metazoa; Mollusca; Bivalvia; Mytilida; Mytilidae. The record is from RNAcentral.